This is a non-coding RNA of Pelobates cultripes (western spadefoot toad), 857 nucleotides long. The record is from the annotation of a GenBank genome assembly. NCBI's taxonomy places the organism in Eukaryota, Metazoa, Chordata, Amphibia, Anura, Pelobatidae.
CUAGAACACCCCUUUAUACUGGGGGUAUCCCCAUAAAUUAUAUGUCCCCUGAUUGCCCUGAUCUGGGCGACCAACAUAUCCGAAUUUCACCCAGAUCGGUUUAGAGGUUCGCAAAAUUUAUGGAAGUUUCUUGUGACCGGCUCACCCUGGGCUGUAUGCCCAAAACAGUUCCAUGACUUUGGUGGGUUUUGCCGGUCACUUUCGAAAAAGCACAAAAACGAAUAAAAUACCGAAUGGAUCCCUCUGGCUCCUAGCAGCGUUCGUGCCCCUCUGUCGAAUACACCAAAGUACCGAAUAGCGCUCUUCUAGCUAUUCGGUAAAUGGAGUUCCAGUGUUCGUCUGUUUGGGACCGGUGUUCGGGAAGUCGAGCGUACGUUUUUAGUUCCAUGCACUCAACGACCAGGUCCAUGAACAAAGAUGGCCGCGGUUUUCUCUGCCACAUGGCGUUCGACUGACGAACGCUGGCCGCACAUACAGAGGUAGCAAUUUCACCCAAACUUUGAUGUUUAAUGAGCCAGAGGGGUGGUCUUUGUUCGGUAGUUCCAUCUACCGAAUGCAAUAAGUAGAAAGGGAGAUAAAAAGGGAAUGCAAGGGGUAAAGAACAUAGGAAACAGGGGGUUUCUUCACAGUCACCAUUGUUGCAGAUGGAAAAAGAUGUCACUACACCCUCAGGACAUAAGAUAUUGUAAGGUCAGACGGGAUAACAUUCUAUAUUUGUAACCAAAGAGUAGUGUAUAGCUUUGUGGAUAAACUUUGACAGUUGAUAUAUAGGUUUUGUUAUUAAUAGAAAUUGUGAAAUUUCUUCAGGUGUUCACUACAAAUAACUGUCUGAACAUCUUGGACCCCUGGGGUUGGCG